CGGGCCGUGUUCUCCAGCCUGCGAGCUUGGAUUGGUUGAGCUUUCGUGGUCCCGCCUCGGGACCGGAAGUUCUCUCUGGACGCCGAGGCCUCCCGGGCUUCGCCUGUGCUUCUCGGUUUCCUCAUCUGUAAGAUGGAGCUAAGAGCCAUACCUGUGUCGGGGUUUUUGUGAGGAUGGAGAUGACGUGAGUGUAUACGGCACACAGAGUUGCUCGAUGUGCACUGUCUUCUGCUGUUAGAAGACUCUUUCUCUGCAUAGGUAACUGGCAGAGAGCGCUGUGCUCCUAUCAGGAAGCUGCGCCUGGCAAACGCAAGCUUGGGAAAACAGAAACCUCUUUU
Molecule: long non-coding RNA, 338 nt
Filed under: Physeter macrocephalus (sperm whale)
Lineage: Eukaryota; Metazoa; Chordata; Mammalia; Artiodactyla; Physeteridae
Description: Physeter catodon (sperm whale) lncRNA (ENSPCTG00005015435.1)
Source: RNAcentral